RNAcentral lists this ribosomal RNA (1761 nucleotides) under Escherichia coli. RNAcentral describes it as "partial 23S ribosomal RNA". It matches the Rfam family "Bacterial large subunit ribosomal RNA", at positions 1103 to 2843 of the family's 2925-position model. Lineage: Bacteria; Pseudomonadati; Pseudomonadota; Gammaproteobacteria; Enterobacterales; Enterobacteriaceae. The record is from RNAcentral.
GGCUUAGAAGCAGCCAUCAUUUAAAGAAAGCGUAAUAGCUCACUGGUCGAGUCGGCCUGCGCGGAAGAUGUAACGGGGCUAAACCAUGCACCGAAGCUGCGGCAGCGACGCUGAUGCGUUGUUGGGUAGGGGAGCGUUCUGUAAGCCUGUGAAGGUGUGCUGUGAGGCAUGCUGGAGGUAUCAGAAGUGCGAAUGCUGACAUAAGUAACGAUAAAGCGGGUGAAAAGCCCGCUCGCCGGAAGACCAAGGGUUCCUGUCCAACGUUAAUCGGGGCAGGGUGAGUCGACCCCUAAGGCGAGGCCGAAAGGCGUAGUCGAUGGGAAACAGGUUAAUAUUCCUGUACUUGGUGUUACUGCGAAGGGGGGACGGAGAAGGCUAUGUUGGCCGGGCGACGGUUGUCCCGGUUUAAGCGUGUAGGCUGGUUUUCCAGGCAAAUCCGGAAAACUAAGGCUGAGGCGUGAUGACGAGGCACUACGGUGCUGAAGCAACAAAUGCCCUGCUUCCAGGAAAAGCCUCUAAGCAUCAGGUAACAUCAAAUCGUACCCCAAACCGACACAGGUGGUCAGGUAGAGAAUACCAAGGCGCUUGAGAGAACUCGGGUGAAGGAACUAGGCAAAAUGGUGCCGUAACUUCGGGAGAAGGCACGCUGAUAUGUAGGUGAAGUCCCUCGCGGAUGGAGCUGAAAUCAGUCGAAGAUACCAGCUGGCUGCAACUGUUUAUUAAAAACACAGCACUGUGCAAACACGAAAGUGGACGUAUACGGUGUGACGCCUGCCCGGUGCCGGAAGGUUAAUUGAUGGGGUCAGCGCAAGCGAAGCUCUUGAUCGAAGCCCCGGUAAACGGCGGCCGUAACUAUAACGGUCCUAAGGUAGCGAAAUUCCUUGUCGGGUAAGUUCCGACCUGCACGAAUGGCGUAAUGAUGGCCAGGCUGUCUCCACCCGAGACUCAGUGAAAUUGAACUCGCUGUGAAGAUGCAGUGUACCCGCGGCAAGACGGAAAGACCCCGUGAACCUUUACUAUAGCUUGACACUGAACAUUGAGCCUUGAUGUGUAGGAUAGGUGGGAGGCUUUGAAGUGUGGACGCCAGUCUGCAUGGAGCCGACCUUGAAAUACCACCCUUUAAUGUUUGAUGUUCUAACGUUGACCCGUAAUCCGGGUUGCGGACAGUGUCUGGUGGGUAGUUUGACUGGGGCGGUCUCCUCCUAAAGAGUAACGGAGGAGCACGAAGGUUGGCUAAUCCUGGUCGGACAUCAGGAGGUUAGUGCAAUGGCAUAAGCCAGCUUGACUGCGAGCGUGACGGCGCGAGCAGGUGCGAAAGCAGGUCAUAGUGAUCCGGUGGUUCUGAAUGGAAGGGCCAUCGCUCAACGGAUAAAAGGUACUCCGGGGAUAACAGGCUGAUACCGCCCAAGAGUUCAUAUCGACGGCGGUGUUUGGCACCUCGAUGUCGGCUCAUCACAUCCUGGGGCUGAAGUAGGUCCCAAGGGUAUGGCUGUUCGCCAUUUAAAGUGGUACGCGAGCUGGGUUUAGAACGUCGUGAGACAGUUCGGUCCCUAUCUGCCGUGGGCGCUGGAGAACUGAGGGGGGCUGCUCCUAGUACGAGAGGACCGGAGUGGACGCAUCACUGGUGUUCGGGUUGUCAUGCCAAUGGCACUGCCCGGUAGCUAAAUGCGGAAGAGAUAAGUGCUGAAAGCAUCUAAGCACGAAACUUGCCCCGAGAUGAGUUCUCCCUGACUCCUUGAGAGUCCUGAAGGAACGUUGAAG